AUACGGAGGGUGCAAGCGUUACUCGGAAUCACUGGGCGUAAAGCGCGCGCAGGCGGCUUGAUAAGUUGGAUGUGAAAGCCUACGGCUCAACCGUAGAACUGCACCCAAAACUGUCAAGCUAGAGUCUGGGAGGGGAAGAUGGAAUUAGUUGUGUAGGGGUAAAAUCCGUAGAGAUAACUAGGAAUACCAAAAGCGAAGGCAAUCUUCUGGAACACUACUGACGCUGGGGCGCGAAAGCGUGGGGAGCAAACAGGAUUAGAAACCCGAGUAGUCC
Molecule: ribosomal RNA, 274 nt
Filed under: uncultured bacterium
Lineage: Bacteria
Description: partial 16S ribosomal RNA
Rfam family: Bacterial small subunit ribosomal RNA
Source: RNAcentral